This 409-nucleotide ribosomal RNA is filed under the name bacterium. RNAcentral's name for it is "partial 16S ribosomal RNA". It matches the Rfam family "Bacterial small subunit ribosomal RNA", at positions 355 to 776 of the family's 1533-position model. The record is from RNAcentral.
UGGGGAAUAUUGCACAAUGGGGGAAACCCUGAUGCAGCAACGCCGCGUGCGGGAUGACGGCCUUCGGGUUGUAAACCGCUUUCAGCCAUGACGAAGCUUUUGUGACGGUAGUGGCAGAAGAAGCACCGGCUAACUACGUGCCAGCAGCCGCGGUGAUACGUAGGGUGCGAGCGUUGUCCGGAAUUAUUGGGCGUAAAGAGCUUGUAGGCGGUUUGUCGCGUCGAAAGUGUAAACUCAGUGCUUAACGCUGAGCCUGCUUUCGAUACGGGCUGACUAGAGGAAGGUAGGGGCGAAUGGAAUUCCCGGUGGAGCGGUGGAAUGCGCAGAUAUCGGGAGGAACACCAGUGGCGAAGGCGGUUCUCUGGACCUUUCCUGACGCUGAGAAGCGAAAGCGUGGGUAGCAAACAGG